This 433-nucleotide ribosomal RNA is filed under the name uncultured bacterium. Its description in RNAcentral is "partial 16S ribosomal RNA". It matches the Rfam family "Bacterial small subunit ribosomal RNA", at positions 29 to 507 of the family's 1533-position model. The record is from RNAcentral.
AACGAACGCUGGCGGCAUGCCUAACACAUGCAAGUCGAACGAGACCUUCGGGUCUAGUGGAGCACGGGUGCGUAACGCGUGGGAACCUGCCCUUAGGUUCGGAAUAACUCCCCGAAAGGGGUGCUAAUACCGGAUAAUGUCUUCGGACCAAAGAUUUAUCGCCUUUGGAUGGGCCCGCGUUGGAUUAGCUAGUUGGUAGGGUAAAAGCCUACCAAGGCGACGAUCCAUAGCUGGUCUGAGUGGAUGAUCAGCCACACUGGGACUGAGACACGGCCCAGACUCCUACGGGAGGCAGCAGUGGGGAAUAUUGGACAAUGGGCGAAAGCCUGAUCCAGCAAUGCCGCGUGAGUGAUGAAGGCCUUAGGGUUGUAAAGCUCUUUUACCCGGGAUGAUAAUGACAGUACCGGGAGAAUAAGCUCCGGCUAACUCCGUG